This 28-nucleotide non-coding RNA is filed under the name Mus musculus (house mouse). The record is from RNAcentral. Lineage: Eukaryota; Metazoa; Chordata; Mammalia; Rodentia; Muridae.
UGCCUGGGCAACUGGGCAACUGUGCAUC